Molecule: ribosomal RNA, 468 nt
Filed under: uncultured bacterium
Lineage: Bacteria
Description: partial 16S ribosomal RNA
Rfam family: Bacterial small subunit ribosomal RNA
Source: RNAcentral
GACGAACGCUGGCGGCGUGCUUAACACAUGCAAGUCGAACGGAAAGGCCCUGCUUUUGUUGGGUGCUCGAGUGGCGAACGGGUGAGUAACACGUGAGUAACCUGCCCUUGACUUUGGGAUAACUUCAGGAAACUGGGGCUAAUACCGGAUAGGAGCUCCUGCUGCAUGGUGUGGGUUGGAAAGUUUCGGCGGUUGGGGCUGGACUCGCGGGUUAUCAGCUUGUUGGUGGGGUAGUGGCUUACCAAGGCUUUGACGGGUAGCCGGCCUGAGAGGGUGACCGGCCACAUUGGGACUGAGAUACGGACCAGACUCCUACGGGAGGCAGCAGUGGGGAAUAUUGCACAAUGGGCGGAAGCCUGAUGCAGCAACGCCGCGUGCGGGAUGACGGCCUUCGGGUUGUAAACCGCUUUCGCCUGUGACGAAGCGUGAGUGACGGUAAUGGGUAAAGAAGCACCGGCUAACUACGUG